GCCCUGGAGCGCGGCAGUGAUGGCGGGGCCGGUGAAGGACCGCGAGGCCUUCCAGAGGCUCAACUUCCUGUACCAGGGAUCCCUCGGUGAAGAGGACUCUUGUCGAGGCUGCUCUUCCCUCCUCGUCCCAGGCCUCACCUGCACCCAGCGCCAGAGACGCUGCAGGGGACAGCGCUGGACCGUACAGACCUGCCUAACAUGCCAGCGCAGCCAACGCUUCCUCAAUGAUCCCGGGCAUUUACUCUGGGGAGACAGGCCUGAGGCCCAGCUCGGGAGCCAAGCAGAUUCCAAACCACUACAACCCUUGCCAAACACAGCCCACUCCAUUUCAGACCGCCUCCCUGAGGAGAAAAUGCAGACUCAGGGUUCCAGUAACCAGUGAUGGAUUCACCCCAUCUCCCAAAUAAAGUUUACUUGUUUUACAUUCCAUGAUUCUGUUCUGUGGGUAUUUCAACU
RNAcentral lists this small RNA (456 nucleotides) under Pan troglodytes (chimpanzee). RNAcentral describes it as "processed transcript". The record is from RNAcentral. Lineage: Eukaryota; Metazoa; Chordata; Mammalia; Primates; Hominidae.